AACGAACGCUGGCGGCAUGCCUAACACAUGCAAGUCGAACGAGACCUCCGGGCCUAGUGGCGCUCGGGUGCGGAACGCGUGGGAACCUGCCCUUAGGUUCCGAACAAUUCCCCGAAGGGGGUGUUAACACCGGAUAAUCUAAUCGGAUACAUGAUUUAUCGCCCUUGGGUGGGCCGGGGAUGGAUUAGCUUGUUGGUAGGGUAAAAGCCUAUCAAGGCGUCGCUCCUUAGCUGGUCUGGGAGGAGGAUCAGCCACACUGGGGCUGCGGCACGGCCCAGACUCCUACGGGAGGCAGGAGUGGGGAAUAUUAGGCAAGGGAGGAGAGCCUGAGCCAGCAAUGCCGGGGGAGUGAUGAAGGCCUUAGGGUUGUGAAGCUGUUUUACACGGGAUGAUAAUGACAGUACCGGGAGAAUAAGCUCCGGCUAACUCCGUG
Molecule: ribosomal RNA, 433 nt
Filed under: uncultured bacterium
Lineage: Bacteria
Description: partial 16S ribosomal RNA
Rfam family: Bacterial small subunit ribosomal RNA
Source: RNAcentral